RNAcentral lists this transfer RNA (75 nucleotides) under Bacillota bacterium. Its description in RNAcentral is "tRNA-Glu". It matches the Rfam family "tRNA". Rfam says of the family: Transfer RNA (tRNA) molecules are approximately 80 nucleotides in length. The record is from RNAcentral. Lineage: Bacteria; Bacillati; Bacillota. RNAcentral also lists the same sequence under 1 other name.
GGCCCGUUGGUCAAGUGGUUAAGACAUCGCCCUUUCACGGCGGUAACAGGGGUUCGACUCCCCUACGGGUCACCA